CAGCCGCCGCGGUAAUACGAAGGGUGCAAGCGUUACUCGGAAUUACUGGGCGUAAAGCGUGUGUAGGUGGUUGUUUAAGUCUGUCGUGAAAGCCCUGGGCUCAACCUGGGAAUUGCGAUGGAUACUGGGCGACUAGAGUGCGGUAGAGGAUAGUGGAAUUUCCGGUGUAGCAGUGAAAUGCGUAGAGAUCGGAAGGAACAUCUGUGGCGAAGGCGACUAUCUGGGCCAACACUGACACUGAGACACGAAAGCGUGGGGAGCAAACAGGAUUAGAUACCCGGGUAGUCCCUGUCUCUUAUAC
RNAcentral lists this ribosomal RNA (301 nucleotides) under uncultured bacterium. RNAcentral describes it as "partial 16S ribosomal RNA". It matches the Rfam family "Bacterial small subunit ribosomal RNA", at positions 509 to 807 of the family's 1533-position model. The record is from RNAcentral.